UGGCGCCCAACUUUGCUUUUCAUUCUGCUGAGCUUUGCUUGUCUAUGUUAGCUCCGUCUAGAGCUUUAGGUCUAGCACAAGAUCCAACUGCCAGGGCAAAAAGCAUUCCUUCUACUUUUCCUCCUCAUUUACUUCUCAACCUUUUACCAUUAGGCUUCAGAUCUCAUAAAAAGUGAAACUGUUUUUCCGAAAUUACCAGCAGUCUCUUAAUGUCCAAAUCUGACCAUUUUCUUCAUCUUCAUCCCUCUAAACAUAUUGCUUUCUUUUUAGUUCGACAUUGCUUGACCACCCUCUUCUGAAUAUCCUCUCUGCCCUGGGACAUCAUUCUCCUGACUCUCCUCCUGCCUUUCUAUAGAAUUCCUAAGGGUCAUUUCUAGACUUGCUAUCCCUUUCCUGCCCCCUUAAUUGUGAGUGUUCCCAAAAGCUCAGUCCUGGGCCUCUCUUCUCUUUGCUCUCUAUCCAUUCUUUUUCUUGGCAACAUCAUUAGCUCCCAUAGGUUAAUCUUGCCAUUUCUCCACAUCUUUCUAAUCCUACCCUUCUCGAUUCAGUGACCAUCUAAAUUUAGAUAGCAGCUUGAAGAUAGCAGCUUAGAAGCAGCAAAUGUCAAUUCCUCUGUGAAGACCCUUCCACACCAAUCAAAAACAAAGUACUUUGAGGGGGACAGAAAACCAAAUACAAGAGGACAGAACCAGGGAACCUUCUGCUUGAUUCAACUUAAAAGGUACACAGAGAAGGUUGAAUUUGGGGGUUUAAGGAAAAGAAAAAAGGAAGGUCCCAGGACCCCUCCCUACCUACUGUGCUGAGACUCGGGCACUUAGUGGGAUCUCAGGGUAAGGGUUCUAGACUAGAGGGAGUGCCUUGCUACUCCAGGAGUACCACAGCUACUCCAGGCUCAGGGCUCUGACCAAAACUGGCAGGAAGGCAGCUGGAGAACAGGGGUAGAGAGGAGGGCAGUCUGGUCACAGUCUUCAGCCAUCACUCCUCCAUCUUGGACCUCUGACUCUGGAAGUUUUGGCCUCAGGGCCCAUGCAGAUCAGCUCAAUUGGCUUAAUCCAGUCUAUCAAUACUGCAUAUGAGAAGCCUGCAGAGGGCAGAUUAGCUCAAUCUCCAACAUACCUCUUCCACCUACUGUACUGAGACCCAUGGUAAGAAUCUGGCUGACUGUGAUCCCAGGGUGAAGGCUGCAACUAUGACAAAGCACCUUUGUACCACUGUGGAAAGCUCAGAGCUCUGAAUAGGCAGCUGGCAGGGAGGUGGCUGACAGGAAGGAAGAGAGGAGGAUGAGGGUAACUCCCUUCAGCCUCCACCCCUUCACCUACACUUUUAGCUUCUGCUGGAAACUGGGGAAGAUCUAGUCUCUGGGCUCAUUAAUACAACAGGUCAGCUCCAUCAGUCUAAUCCAGUUAAUCAGCAGAGCAGGAAAAAAAAGCCCCUACAGAGCAUAAAAACAAACUCAAAGAUGCAGUAAAUAAACAGAGGAGCAAGAAUGCAGCCAAUCAGAAGGAGAAAAGAAGGAAAAAUUAUAACUAAACAACAGAAAAGGAAAAAAGAAAUUACAAUUGACAACUUCUAUCCAGGUAAUUGACAAAGAGCAAAUGGAACAGAGGAAGACCAAGGAACACCAAGAAAAACCUCAGAAACUCCAGCAAAUUGGACCUAGGCUUUGGAAGAACUUAAAAUGCAAUUCAAAAAAUUAAGAAAGGCUGAAGAAAAUUGGAGAAAGAAUUUAAAAACAAAAUAGGUCAUUUGGAAACAGAGGCACAUGAACUAAAACAAGAAAAUAGUGUUUUAAAUAGCAGAAUUGAGCAGCUUAAAAAUGAGGCAAAGAAAGACUUACAAAGAAAAAUAGAUCAAAAGGAAAAGGAGGAUCAAAAAUCCAGGGAUGAAAUUCAGUCUUUAAAAAAAUUAGAAUCCAACAACUAGAAGCAAAUGACUUCAUUCACAAGGCAGCAAGAGUCUAUAAAACAAAACCAAAAGAACAAAAAAAUUGAGGAAACUAUGAAACAUCUCAUUGAUAAAACAACAGACCUAGAAAAUAGAUCCAGGAAAGACAAUUUAAGAAUUAUUGGACUAUCUGAAAAUCAUGACCAAAGAAAAGCCUAGAUAUCAUUCUACAAGAAAUUAUCCAAGAAAAUUGCCCUGAUAUUCUUGAACAAGAGGGUAAAACAGAUAUUGAAAGAAUCCACAGAUCACCUCUUAUAAUAAAUCUCUAACUGACAAUGCCCAGGAAUGUUAUAGCCAAGUUCAAGAACCUCCAGACCAAGGGAAAGAUACUACCAACUGCUAAAAAGAAACCAUUAAGAUAUCAUGGAGUCACAAUCAGAUUUAUCCAAGACCUGGAUAUAUCCACACUAAAGGAUCAGAAGGCAUGGAAUAUGAUAUUCUGGAAAGCAAGGGAAUUGGGUCUACAACCAAGAAUCUACAAACCAAAGUACCCAGCAAAAUUGACAAUAUUCUUCUAGGGGAUACUAUGGUCUUUUAAUAAAAUAGAAGACUUCCAAGCAUUCCUGAAGAAAAGACCAAGCUUGAACAGAAAAUGUGAUUCCCAAAUACAGAACACAAUAGAAUCACCAAAAGAUAAUUAAGGAAAAAAAUUUAAGGGAUCUGAUAAGUUCAAAUGACUUGUAUUGCUAUAUGAAAAAAAUGAUAUUGGUAAUUCUUAAAAAUUGUUAUUAUCAUUGGGUAGCCAGAAGAAGUAUACUUAGGGGGUAUGGUGACAAACUGUAUAGGAUGAUAUGUCAAAAAUAUAUAUUUAAAAAAUUAGGCGUAAAAAAAGAAGAUGAUACUAAGAGAAAUGGGAAAAGAGAAAAAAAUGAGGUAAAUAUAUAUUUCAUAAAGAAGCAUGUGGGGAGAGUGGGAGAUAAGACCAAUACAAUGGAAGGGUGGAAGAGACUGGUAACAGCAGCUAAAUUAAUUAUACAAAAAUUCAAGUCAUUCCCCAAUUGAUAAAUGGGCAAUUGAUAUGAAUAGACAGUUUUCAGAUAAAGAAAUCAAAACCAUCAAUUAAGCAUAAGAAAAAAAUGUUCUAAAUUCCUCUUAAUUAGAGAAAUGCAAAUCAAAACAACUCUGAGAUAUCACCUAACACCUAGCAGAUUGGCUUAUAUGACAGCAAAAGAAAGUAAUAAAUAUCGGAGGGAAUGUGGCAAAAUCAGGACAUUAAUGCACUGCUGAUGGAGUCAUGAAUGGAUUCUGGAGGGCAAUUUGGAACUAUGCCCAAAGGGUGAUAAAAGACUGUCUGCCCUUUGAUCCAGCCAUAGCACUGCUGGGUUUGUACUCCAAAGAGAUCAUAAGGAAAAAGACAUGUACAAGAUUACUCAUAGCUGCGCUCUUUGUGGUGACCAAAAAUUGGAAAAUGAGGGGAUGCCCUUCAAUUGGGGAAUGGCUGAACACAUUGUGGUAUCUGAUGGUGAUGAAAUACUCUUGUGCUCAAAGGAAUGAUGAACUGGAGGGAUUCCACGUGAACUGGAAGAACCUCCAGGAAGUGAUGCAGAGUGAAAGGAGCAGAACCAGGAGAACAUUGUACACAUUGUGGCACAAUCUAAUGUAAUGGACUUCUUUACUAGUAGCAAUGCAAUGAUCUAAGACAAUUCUGAGGGACUUGUGAGAAAGAACACUGUCCACAUCAAGAGAAAGAACUGUGGGAGCAGAAAUGCAGAAGAAAAGCACAUGAUUCAUCACAUGGUUCGAAGGGGAUAUUAUUGCGGAUGUUGACUUUAAAUAAUCAGUCUCUUGCAAAUAUUAAUAAUAUGGAAAUAGGAUCUGAACUAUAGUAAUAAAAUUAGGAAUUAAGAUUGAUAGAAUUCUGAUAAGCUAAGAUUUGGCAAGGCGAUCUCAGAAGCUUAAGCAGCUAGAACUGUAUGCAAGGUUUAGAAUGAAGGGGGAAGGGGAGCCAGAGUUCUAUGUGACAGUUUGAACUCUGGCAGUUGAGCUUAGCUGCUGGGCUGAACAGGUUAGCUCUCUCUGCCUGGACAGUUUUAGCUCUGGCUCGAGUUUCGAGCUCUGGCGGUUGCUGAGCUUGACUGCUGUUGAUCUGUCUCUCUCUUCAUAGCCGUGGUUUGAGAAGAAAAGGACAAGACAUUCAUCAACAGUCUCAUGAGGGUUUCUUCCACAUUGAAGAACAGAAACCUUAAGACGGUAGCUGUUGCUGUUAACUCUGGCUGGUUUCCAGUUUGCCUGUUUUCCUUUCUCUCUGACUAAGCUUGGUCUGAGGGAGGUUCUUGAAACAUCUUGAGAGUUUCUGUUCCGAGUUGGAGGAUACAUCAGGAAGAAACUCGGUGAAAUACCUGCUGUUGAGAUCAUUUCGUUUGGAAGGAGAAAAGACCUGAAACCCUGUUUUGCCUGAGACUGAGAGAAAUCUCAGAGCCCAGUCAGUUAAGCGAGCCUAGCCAUUCUGAGCUCACUCUUAUUAUUUACUUGGAGGCAAAUUUUAAUACAGAUAUUUUAAAAUCAACAUAUAAGGCAGUCUGUGUGCACUGAGCCCAGUCAAGAGGUCUACAUUGAACUUCCCUGUAAGAGCAAUGAUGCUUGCAAAACCCAGUGGGAUUGCUCGUCAGUUCUGGCAGGUGGGAAAGGAGAAGAGGAGGGCAAGAGCAUGAACCAUGUAACCACAGGGAAAGAUUCCAAAUUAAAUAAAUAAAUAAAGUGUUUGACAAAUUUA
Non-coding RNA from Monodelphis domestica (gray short-tailed opossum), 4657 nucleotides. The record is from RefSeq and is a predicted model, not a curated record. Lineage: Eukaryota; Metazoa; Chordata; Mammalia; Didelphimorphia; Didelphidae.